This 10196-nucleotide long non-coding RNA is filed under the name Xyrichtys novacula (pearly razorfish). The record is from RNAcentral. Lineage: Eukaryota; Metazoa; Chordata; Actinopteri; Labriformes; Labridae.
GGGCAUGUGCUACGGUAGAUUGUUUAACAUCUGACAGAAUUUUUUAUACCCUGAAGGCCCUGAGGAACACUCUCCAAAGCUGAAAUUCCUCCUCUUCAUCAUGAUUAUUUUAUGCCAUUGAUAAUUAAGCAUGCAAUUGUUGUGUAAUGAUACAGCAUGCUUUAAUGUGAUUUAUCCAGACAGACAUUCAGACAGAAGCUGAUGAAAAAUAGAAACAGAAGAGGGAGGAUCUCUUGUAAAUAAUGGAGAAAGAGAGAGCUGUGAGGGGGAGACAUCAGCAGUAGAUGACGAUGGAGAAAGAGGAGGGCAUAAUCAGGUAUGAUGAGAAGAAAACCACGCAAGGAAACCUUUUGUAUUUCUGCAAAACCUCAUGGUUUUAACGAGUGCACUGACCUUACUUUUAUAAAGUGUUUCACUCUUGAUUAUUUUUAGACAAAUGUCUAAAAAAGAUCACUGAGUGCAGCGGAGUUCCGCAGCUUAAGCUGACUCCUCCUCUUGACUGGUGAGCGUGCGCAUUGCUUCAUUCCCUUCCCUGCUGUUGAACUGUGUGUAGCAUUUUGUUCCUCCUGUUAGCGUUCUUGCUGUUUGGGUUAUUAUCUCUCUUUAAUCAAUCAAUACAUCUGUUUGUUUAAAAGUCUGUAAGUAUAUCUGAUAGUUUUCACCAAGCACGUCUUUAUCUCCAUUCCGGGUGAUCUCUCUGGUAGUUUACUUUACUAGCUCUUAGCUUCUCUUAGCUUAGCUUCACUUGCUAACGAUGGCUUCCCCCUGGUCUCCUGCUUCCCCUGCUCGCUUCUGCUCAGUGUGUCAGAUGUUUAGUUACUCCUCGUCCUGUUAGGUGUUGUGCAUAGGUGGACCCAGAGCAGAGGCUGAAUCAGAUCAGGAUUUCAACAAACAGUGAUUUUUAUUUACAUGUGAGUAAAAAGUAAACAAAGCAAUGAUGGUGGUGGUGGCGGGAGCUCGUGGAGACCUGGAAAAAACGAGAAAGAGAGAAGGAGUUAGUCCAGGGGUAAAAUGAGCAUGAAUCCACAACAGUCAUCAAAAAAUGAAGCACAAGAUAAUCUCCGUGAGGGGAGAAGAGGCUUAAGGCCAGCACAAACGUAGUGAACGAACCACUUAGUCAGGCAAUCAGCCGGCACCGAGAAGAUUCCUUCCUGGGCUCUUGUAGGCAGGUAAUCAGACCGGAAUUAGCAGCAGGUGAGGUCUCCAGCAGGUGAUCAGCUCCCGCGGUGCCACCCAUGCAGGAAGUGAAGAGAGGGAUCCUGAGCAGCCUACAGCGCCGCUCAGGCGAAGUGGAUAAAGGGGGGAAGACAGCCCGAGAGGGGAGGGCAAAGAGGAGCAAAACUGGAGGACUGGGGACCAGUCCUCACAGUACCCCCCCCUCAACGGACGUCUCCCGACGUCCUACCCGGCUUGUCGGGGUGGUCAUGGUAGAAGUCCCGGAGGAGGUUGCCAUCAAGGAUGAGACCGCGGGGGAUCCAUGACCUCUCCUCAGGUCCAUAUCCCUCCCAGUCGACCAGGUACUGGAAUCCUCGCCCCCGCGGCCUGACGUUCAAAAUCCGGGAUACUGUAAACGCCGGAUGGUCAUCAAUGAGUCGGGGGGGUGGAGGGGGCUCGGCCGGAGGGCAGAGCUCGCUGGUCUCCACUGGCUUGAGAAGAGAGACGUGGAAUGUGGGAUGGACCCUCAGGGAAGCUGGCAACCUGAGUCUCACGGCAGAGGGGUUAAUAAUCUUCUCCACCGGAAAAGGACCAAUAAAAUGAGGGGCCAACUUACUAGCCUCCACCUGGAGGGGCAGGUCCCGAGAAGAUAACCACACCAUCUGGCCAGGACGAUACGAAGGAGCCGGUUGACGAUGGAGAUCAGCACUGCGUUUGGUUCUCUCAGUGGUAGCGGACAGAGCCUCUCGAGCCCUCCUCCAUACCUCCUUCAGACGCUUAAUGUGAGCCCCCACAGAAGGAACAGCGACCUCUCUCUCCUGUUCUGGAAACAACGGGGGUUGGUAACCAAAACAAACUUGGAACGGAGACAUACCCGUAGACGAACAGGAGAGGGCGUUGUGGGCGUACUCCACCCAAGGAAGAUGGUUGCUCCAGGUAACUGGGUGAUGGGCUGCGACGCAGCGUAAAGCACUCUCGAGGUCCUGAUUGGCCCGCUCAGUCUGGCCGUUGGUCUGCGGGUGGAAACCCGAGGAGAGGCUGACUGCUGCGCCCAAUGCCUGGCAGAAAUCCCUCCAAACACGAGAGGCAAUAUCCUGAGGGACUCCAUGCAGUUUGAACACGUGAGUGAUUAAAAGGUUAGCUGUCUCCAGUGCGGUAGGCAAUUUAGGGAGUGGUACAUAAUGGACCAUUUUGGAGAAGCGAUCCACUAUGGUGAGGAUGACAGUGUUACCUUGUGAGGGGGGCAACCCGGUGACAAAGUCCACAGCAAUGUGAGACCAAGGGCGACUGGGCACCGGCAGGGGGCGCAGCAGACCAGCUGGUGGCUUGUGGGAGGCCUUUCCCCGGACACAGACUGAGCAGGCAGCCACGAACUCCCGAGUGUCUCGAGCCAUUGAGGGCCACCAAAACCUCUGCCGGAGGAAAGACAGGGUGCGAUUAAUACCGGGGUGACAGCUUAGUUUGGAGAACCUCCGACCGAACGGAGUCAGGAACAAACAGGAGAUUGGGGGGACCAGUUUCGGGAUCCGGAUGACGUGUCUGGGCCUCCCUAACAACACGCUCCACGUCCCAAUGAGCGGCACCCAGGAUGCAGGAGGGAGGAAGGAUGGAAGAAGGACCCUCAGGCUCCGAUGGAGGGGAGAAGACCCGGGAGAGAGCAUCAGGCUUGGUGUUCUUGGAUCCGGGGCGAUAUGAAAUGGAGAAGUUAAAACGACUCAGGAAAAGAGACCACCUGGCCUGCCUCGGGUUGAGCCGUUUUGCUGUCCGGAGAUACGCCAGGUUCUUAUGGUCCGUCCAGAUCAAAAAAGGCUUCUCCACGCCCUCCAGCCAGUGUCUCCACUCUUGUAGAGCUCCCACCACCGCUAAGAGUUCUCGGUUUCCCACGUCGUAAUUUCGCUCUCCGGGAGAAAGGCGACGAGAAAAAAAAGCACAAGGGUGCAGCUUGUUGGUAGUUGGGUCUCGCUGGGAGAGGAUAGCACCGAUGCCGGAGUCAGAGGCGUCCACCUCCACCACGAACUGUAGAGAGGGGUCAGGGUGCAGGAGUACAGGGGCAGAGGUGAACAAUGUCUUGAGGUCCUGGAAGGCGCUGUCAGCCUCGUCUGACCAACAGAAGGGGACCUUGACAGAGGUGAGCUGAGUGAGAGGUUUAGCUACGCUACUGUAGUUACGAAUAAAUCUACGGUAGAAGUUAGCAAAACCUAAAAACCGCUGUAACUCCUUACGGGUGGUAGGGGUGGGCCAACUGAUCACAGCUUGGAUCUUGCAAGGGUCGGGGCGUAACUGACCAGCCUCUAUGAUAUAACCUAAAAAACUGACUCUGGACGCAUGAAACUCGCAUUUCUCAGGCUUUACAUAGAGACGGUUUUCGAAGAGACGCUGGAGAAUGAGACGGAGGUGCUGACGAUGCUCAUCUUGAUUCUUGGAGAAUAUCAAGAUGUCAUCGAGGUAAAUGAAAACAAACUUAUUCAGCACGUCCCGGAAAAUGUCAUUCAUAAAUGACUGAAAAACUGCCGGAGCAUUGGUGAGACCAAAAGGCAUCACCAAAUACUCAAAAUGUCCCAUGGGUGUGUUAAAGGCAGUUUUCCAUUCAUCUCCCUCUCUGAUCCGGAUGAGAUGAUACGCGUUUCUAAGAUCAAGUUUGGAGAAGAUCUUAGCAUGACACAGGGGCUCAAAUGAGGGAUCGAUAAGAGGAAUGGGAGACUUAUCUUUAAUGGUUAUGUCGUUAAGACCACGGAAAUCGACGCACGGCCGAAGUGAAGAAUCCCUCUUACCCACGAAGAAAAAACCCGCCCCUACGGGAGACGAAGAAGGCCGAAUUAACCCGGAAGCCAACGACUCGGAAAUGUAAGUCUGCAUGGAAUCCUUCUCUGAACGAGACAGGUUGUAAAGUCGGCCAGAAGGUAAGGGGGCGCCAGGGAGCAGGUUAAUCACGCAGUCGUAAGGACGGUGCGGAGGCAGUGUCUUAGCCAGAUCUUUACUAAAUACCUGUGCUAAGUCAUGAUAGCAAGAGGGUACCGAAGAAAGAUCAGGAGGUGCCGGUGUAACCGAAGGAGGGUUAACGACUGCCGACUGCAAACAAAAAGAGUGACAAUGAGUGCUCCAACUGACAAUAGAGGACGUGACCCAGUUAAUGUGAGGACUAUGCAGUUUAAACCAAGGCAGCCUGAGAAUAACUGGGGAACAGGGAGACGAAAUGACAAAAAACUUAAUUUUCUCGGAAUGAUUACCGGAAAGUAGUAAGGUGAGGUGAACUGUCUCAAAUUUAAACCUCCGAAAUGACUCGACCGUCCAAUGCCAGAACCUGUUUAGCCUGAGAAAGCGAGUUGGUGGGAAUAUUGUGAACUUUAACAAAGGCCUCAUCAAUAAAAUUAUCAUCCACGCCAGAGUCAAGAAAAACUGAAGUCUUAAUAACGGAGGAGGGAAAACUAAGAGAGGCAGGAAACGUGGACCUGGAAGAAGGGCUUCUGGGGGUUGAUAGCCGACUCACCAUUACGCCCUUGCUUAAUGAUGAGUCCUGUCUUUUAACAGAAGGGGGCAGGACUGAAGGGAAUGCUCCGCUCCUCCACAGUAAAGGCAGAGAUUCUCCACUCUCCGUCUUCUUCUCUCCCUUAGACUCAGCCGAGUCUUGCCCAACUGCAUGGGCUCCUCCGAGUCAGCAGGGGGAGCAGUAGCAGGUGGCGUAGGUGCAGGUGGAGUAAGUUGGCCUAGAGUAGGGCGAGCAGUGGAAACCACAUGACCAGAAGGGGGAGUCUGACGGGGAGCACUAGCAGCCCUCUCCCUGUCUCUCUCUCUCAAUCUACCGUCUAUUUUAAUCGCUAGAUCAAACAGUUCCUGUAGUGAGUCUGGCUCAUCCCUAGUUGCCAAUUCAUCCUUCAAUUCCUCCGAAAGCCCCUUGACAAAUAACGCCUUUAAUGCAGCCUCGUCCCAACCACACCUCCCAGCCAAAAUUUGGAAAUCGACCGCAAAGCUAGCCACCGAUUGACCCCCCUGAGAUAAUGCCAGGAGCUGUUUAGCAGCAUCUUGGCCCAGAACCGGGUGAUCAAAAACCCUACGUAGUUGGGCAGAAAAUGUCUCAAAUGAAUUAAGAACACUGGAUCCCCCCUCCCAUAAGGCUGUGGCCCACUUUGCGGCUCUACCCCCAAGGAGAUUAAUGGUAUAAGCAAUAUUGGCCUCAUCGGAGGCAUAACUGUAGGGCUGGAGCUUAAACACAAGGCUACAAUUAAACAAAAAAAACGGCUACAGGACCCAAAAUCACCCGAAAAUGGCUCAGGGUGUGAAACAAACGGUUCUUUAAAAUGAACCGAGUCUGGAGAGAGAGCGGCAGGGGGAGAAGCCGGCGCGGCACUCACCGCAGUAGCAGGGGGGCCUCUGGCCUCAAUCAGCUGAGCGCUAAUCUGUUGCAUUUGGCAAGUCAUCUCCUCCAAAGUUCCAGUCACUCCCUUGAGAAGCGAAUCAUGUUGUCCCAAAAGUGUUCCAUGUGACACCAGAGCGUCCUUGAUUUGAUCCAACCUCGCGGACUCCAUAACGAGGCCAGCUGAUUCUGUUAGGUGUUGUGCAUAGGUGGACCCAGAGCAGAGGCUGAAUCAGAUCAGGAUUUCAACAAACAGUGAUUUUUAUUUACAUGUGAGUAAAAAGUGAACAAAGCAAUGAUGGUGGUGGUGGCGGGAGCUCGUGGAGACCUGGAAAAAACGAGAAAGAGAGAAGGAGUUAGUCCAGGGGUAAAACGAGCAUGAAUCCACAACAGUCAUCAAAAAAUGAAGCACAAGAUAAUCUCCGUGAGGGGAGAAGAGGCUUAAGGCCAGCACAAACGUAGUGAACGAACCACUUAGUCAGGCAAUCAGCCAGCACCGAGAAGAUUCCUCCCUGGGCUCUUGUGGGCAGGUAAUCAGACCGGAAUUAGCAGCAGGUGAGGUCUCCAGCAGGUGAUCAGCUCCCGCGGUGCCACCCAUGCAGGAAGUGAAGAGAGGGAUCCUGAGCAGCCUACAGCGCCACUCAGGCAAAGUGGAUAAAGGGGGGAAGACAGCCCGAGAGGGGAGGGCAAAGAGGAGCAAAACUGGAGGACUGGGGACCAGUCCUCACACGUCCUCCUGAGACGAUAACGAUACUUGCUUUAAGUGCAGUUUAUUCUUAGCUCUAGAGGCGAGGAUUACAGAGUUAGAAAAGCAACUCCACACCGAUGCUAGAGUAGCGGUAGCCAGCCAGGACACGGUAGCCGGUGCGGGUCGGCCUAGCUUAGCUCCCCCGCACCUCUGUACUCCCUUCAGAGCAGCUUCCUAGCUACAAUCAGUUUGAUAUAGAGAUCAGGGAGCAUAGCUGCAGUUCUACACGUUCCUCUACACUUUUGUUAGAGCAGCCUCCUGGCUACUGUCACUUUAAUAUAGAGACUGUGUCUGUCCCUUGUCCUCGGCUCUUUAAUUCUAACUGAUCGAUUAACAAAGGAGUAAAUAACAAGAAUCUUACUAGAAUUAUAACUGCUAACAUGGCUGAACUGAGUAGUAGUAAGAUAAAAUGUGGUCUACUGAACACAACGUCUCUAAGUUCCAAAUCUGUGUUAUUAAAUGAACUAAUCUCUGAUCAUCGCAUUGAUUUACUCUCCCUAACCAAAACUUGGCUGCGUCAGGAUGAAUAUGUCAGCUUGAAUGAAUCAACUCCUACUAGCCCCCUAAGCUCUCACAUUCCUCGGGACUCUGGCCGAGGUGGUGGAGUUGCAGCUAUUUACAAUUCCAGUCUUGGAAUUAACCCAAGACCAAAACUGGAUUAUAACUCUUUUGAAAGUCUUGUUCUCAGUCUUCCGCAUCCAGCCUCAAAGAACACGAGACCACUGGUAUUUGCUAUAGUUUAUCGCCCUCCGAGCCCAUACCCAUUUUGUCAGAAUUCUAUCUGAUCUAGUCCUUCGUGCAGACAAAGUCAUUGUCGUUGGUGACUUUAAUAUUCAUGUGGAUGUGGAAAAUGAUAGCCUAAGCAUUUCUUUCUUGUCCUUGCUAGACUCAAUCUGGUUUACACAGUGUGUACAUGGACCUACGCACUGCUUUAACCACACCCUCGAUCUUGUCCUGGCUUAUGGCCUUAAAGCUGAAGCCUUGUCAGUCAGCUCAUUAAAUCUUCUUUUAUCAGAUCACUUUCUAGUAACUUUUGAAUUUGUGCUUUGAGGCUACUCUCCUCAUAACAAAACCGUGCUAACUAGAAGGUUGUCUGAAAAUGCUGUGACUAAGUUCAAGGAGGCAAUUCUAUCUGCUCUUAAUUCUGUGCUUGAGAAGAACUUCACUGAUAGCUCAUACUUGAACUUAAGUCCCUUGCAACUUGAUCAGUUCGUCGAUGAUACCUCAGGCACAUUGCGAUCAAUUCUUGACUCAGUUGCUCCUCUACGACAGAAAACUCUUACACGUGAGAGGCUGGCUCCGUGGUAUAAUGCUGAAAUCCGUGAGCUGAAACAGUUAUUAAGAAGACGAGAAAGGAUUUGGCGCUCUUCCAAAACAGCUGAACCUCUUUUUCUCCGGCAGGAAUGUCUUGAUAAAUAUAAGAAGACCUUACGUAGUGCUGGACGAUAAUUCGAUAACAAUAUAUAUCGAUCGAUAGACGUGUGCUGCGAUAGAAAAAAAACGGGUCGAUAAAAAGUUCGAUAGAAAAACACAGUUUCCCUUUCUUUUUCAUCAUAGCCUAUCAUGUAGCUUUUGCUACAGUCAUUACUUCCUCCCAACCAAUCACAAACGCAGACCCAGGUACGCUACGGCACCAAGCCCAGCCCCUAUCAAACCACAACAGACAGCACGUGUAUUAGAAAAAAUGAUACAGCAAGGAGAAGCGGAGGACAUUGUCAGUAGUUCACCAGCAUGGCAAUGUUUUGGUUUUUAGAAGUCUGACAAAAAGCGAACAGCGGUCGUUUGCAAAAUUUGCAGAGAAUUAGUAAAAACCAAGUCUGGUAACACAACCAACUUGUUUUACCAUCUAAACCGGUCGCACCCGCAGGAGUACGAGCUGUGUCGGCCGCGCCGCGGCUCCACGUCGUCGGAGGAGGAAUCCUCUGGAACCGCUGCCAGCACCAGCACAAAGCAAGUGAAGCAGACCAAACUGGACUUCGUUUCUUGCCAAAAUACGACAAAAGCGUCCGAGCGGCAUAAGGACAUCACCCAUGCAGUAACAUGCUGCAUAGCGAGGGACAUACUGCCAAUAACUACCGUUGAAAAGCCUGGCUUCGACCAGCUUCUAGCCACUCUCGACCCGUGAUAUGAAGUGCCCGGCCGCAAGUAUUUCUCAAACACAGCGCUUCAGGCAUGAAAAUGGGUCAGGGGUUGAAAAGGUGAGAAGAAUGCACCCCUGCAUCCCGUCCACUCAUUAGCUUCUUAAAGUGGAAGAAAAUGAGCUCAUAUUUUACAAAGACGCGAGUAUUUGGAUCAUGGCUACUAGCAGGGGGUGCAUUCGGCAGGGGUGCAUUCUACGACACAACACCGGCGUGGAUAAGUCCUGCUUCUCGUGCUCAGUUUGCGUAUCAAGUCAAUCACAUGAUAAUUAAAAAAAUAAAUCUCCCGACCCCGGGAGAAAUAUUUCAGUGUUCAGACACCAGGCUGUGGGCAGUUUCUCACACAGUUAAAACUGGUAGUAUGUUAUUCCCACCUAAAGCUAUUCUGUUUAUUUAUAUAUUUGUUUGUUUUGUUUAUUUUCAUCAAAAGACUAUUUAAAUAUUUAUUUAUCAGAUUUUCUGGUCACUUUAGUCUUUAUGUUUGUCAGUAUUUACUGACAUCACUCAGGCCCCUUAAGUUGAUUUCUUUUUUUUUUAGUUCUUUUUUAAAAAACUUUCAGUUGUGGUAAAAUAAAAAAGGUGGUUGAAUAAAGGUUUGAAUUUGAAUUCAGUGCUUCUGUGUUCUUUAUUAAAAGUAGGUCAUUAAGCAAUAGCAUAUAACAUCCAGGGCUGCAAUUAAAACAUAUGUUAAAUAAUUAUAAUAAUUAUAUCAAUAAUUAUCGAUAUCGAUCAAUAUGAUUUAUUUUUUAUCGAUAUGCUUUUUUUCUAUAUCGUCCAGGCCUAACCUUACGAUGUGCUCGGACAACUUACUACUCGUCUCUUGUGUCUCUUGUGUUCAGUAUCAAUAUGACAAAAAUACUUCCACAGGUCAUCCUCCCUUCCUUCCAUCCAUUAAGACAUGAUGAGGUAAUGCAUGUUGAUGAAAGAUGAAAGCUCUGUAAACACCAUCCAAACUAGAGAACAAGCAGAAAUCUAAUCAUUACAUCAAAGUGUUGCAGAAACUAAAUAAUACACUUGGAUCAAAAAAUUCUUUUCCAUAAUGAUGCCGACAGUAAAUAUAGUAGUUCAUUUAUUCAUUUUUGUUUUAAAUCGAUUCUUUUCACAGAUACCACAAUACCAGUAUUUAUGACGUCAAUGGAAAACCAUCAUAGCAACAGAAAAUUUUCAUUCCUGUGUCUUAUCAAAUAACAUAAACUGUGAUUAAAAAAAAAGCUCUAUUGAUAGUAAGUACUAAAAAAAAAAAUCUACCCAUGCCAUCCAGUCGAUUUUUAGUAAUCAGUGUUGCCGUGUCGAACUAUUUCCUUUUGUGCAUUUAUUUUUGUCUUGUUACAUCUUUUCCAUUAUUCCAAUUUUGGGGGGCGUGGUAGCAAUUUGAUUGACUUUCAGCCAUUUAUGGCCAUGAUGUGCUGUUUAUAUUUUAUUGCUUUUAUUAACCAGUAGGUUGUCAUUUUUAUGUAUGAAACAUAAACUUUUAGCUAAAUUUACUGUAUAUAUUUCAUUGCGCUGGGUGCAAAUCCCUCGAGUUGAGACGUUUUCUUCAAGAAAUUUGCUACAUUUCAUAAUCUGAAUUCACUUAUGCAUAAACUAAGGCACCAAUAACUAUUUCAGAUAUUAGGUAGAUGUAUUUAUGACAUUUGAGAAAGAUUUUGUCUUGCCAGAAUCAACAUAGCAGUUUCUACAAGCAAAAACAGCAGCACCAUAUAAUUGUUUUUUGGGUUACUCACAUAUAUGUACAUUUCUGGCUGGUGACAAAAGUCGGACAGAUAGUCUGAGUAGAUAUUUUAACCCAAAGUCUAGAAUGGUA